This 253-nucleotide ribosomal RNA is filed under the name uncultured bacterium. Its description in RNAcentral is "partial 16S ribosomal RNA". It matches the Rfam family "Bacterial small subunit ribosomal RNA", at positions 524 to 776 of the family's 1533-position model. The record is from RNAcentral.
GACAGAGGCCUCAAGCGUUAGGCGGAAUCACUGGGCUUAAAGCGUGUGUAGGCGGAUCGUUAAGUGCCUUGUGAAAUCCCACGGCUUAACUGUGGAACGGCUGGGCAUACUGGCGGUCUUGAGCCAUCUAGGGGCGUGCGGAACUUCCGGUGGAGCGGUGAAAUGCGUAGAUAUCGGAAGGAACACCGGUGGCGAAAGCGGCGCGCUGGAUCCCUUCUGACGCUGAGGCGCGAAAGCCAGGGGAGCGAACGGG